This 392-nucleotide long non-coding RNA is filed under the name Brachypodium distachyon (stiff brome). Its description in RNAcentral is "long non-coding RNA (BDIS_LNC000874)". The record is from RNAcentral. Lineage: Eukaryota; Viridiplantae; Streptophyta; Magnoliopsida; Poales; Poaceae.
GUGGGUGCUGAUGGGUUUAUCGAUCGAUAGGUCGUGCUGUGCACAUGCGUGCCACGAAUUACAAGCAAAUUAGGAUUAGUCGUACUACUACAAGUUAGUACUCCAGUUUUUAUGAUGACCAUGGGUGUGGAUUGAUCCUUGCGAAGAUUCCAUUUGCAUGUGCGCAUCUUGAUCGAAUGGAGGGUAAUUAAUAUUCUUUUUUUUAUUUCCAGUGCCGUGUGCUCGAGUGUGACUAAAUUUAAUUUUCUAUCUUUAGAUUAUUCACCAAGGGCCAUUCUGUACUCAAUGAUGGAUUUUAAAAUUUGUUAGAAACUGUGUGAGAUAUGCAUGCUGGUUGGACAAUAGUAGAACUUGUAAUUAAGUUAGGUGUUUGAGUCGAGCCCAUAUAAUUU